UCAAACUUGGUCAUUUAGAGGAAGUAAAAGUCGUAACAAGGUCUCCGUUGGUGAACCAGCGGAGGGAUCAUUACAGAGUUAUCAUAAACUCCCAAAACCCUUUGUGAACGUUGCUGUUGUUGCCUCGGCGUGGGCGAGAGCUACCCUGGAGCUACCCUGUAGCCAUCCUGGAGCUCGCUGUAAGCCCCGCCGGAGGACCACUAAACUCUGGUUAAUAACUGUGUCUCUCUGAAUGCUUCAACUGAAAUCAGUUAAAACUUUCAACAACGGAUCUCUUGGUUCUGGCAUCGAUGAAGAACGCAGC
RNAcentral lists this unclassified non-coding RNA (304 nucleotides) under uncultured fungus. RNAcentral describes it as "partial contains small subunit ribosomal RNA, internal transcribed spacer 1, and 5.8S ribosomal RNA". The stretch from base 1 to 73 matches the Rfam family "Eukaryotic small subunit ribosomal RNA", at positions 1759 to 1831 of the family's 1831-position model. The record is from RNAcentral. Lineage: Eukaryota; Fungi.